Long non-coding RNA from Photinus pyralis (common eastern firefly), 271 nucleotides. RefSeq lists it as uncharacterized. The transcript has 2 exons. The record is from RefSeq and is a predicted model, not a curated record. NCBI's taxonomy places the organism in Eukaryota, Metazoa, Arthropoda, Insecta, Coleoptera, Lampyridae.
UUUGCUUUCGUAUCAGACAUGUGUCGUAUUUUCCUGUUCUUGCUCUUUGUUGGAAUUUUGUCCAUCAACGGAAUUGUGGCGGAGACUUGUUCGUGCAAAUUCUCCUGUUCAUCGGCAGAAAUCAAGCGAUCGAAGUGCAAAGAACCCAGUAUAGUAUCUCCCGCCAUGUACUGGUGUUGCAAGUAAAUGUGUGUAGAAAUACCAGUUUCCUUGCAUUUACGCAAGCUGUAUAACAUAUGUUAGCGUUAAAAAUAAUAAAUGUUUACUAAGA